UACGGAGGGUGCAAGCGUUAUCCGGAUUCACUGGGUUUAAAGGGUGCGUAGGUGGGCAGGUAAGUCAGUGGUGAAAUCUCCGGGCUUAACCCGGAAACUGCCGUUGAUACUAUCUGUCUUGAAUAUCGUGGAGAUGAGCGGAAUAUGUCAUGUAGCGGUGAAAUGCUUAGAUAUGACAUAGAACACCGAUUGCGAAGGCAGCUCGUUACACGGUUAUUGACACUGACGCACAAAACCGUGGCGAUCAAACAGG
Molecule: ribosomal RNA, 253 nt
Filed under: uncultured bacterium
Lineage: Bacteria
Description: partial 16S ribosomal RNA
Rfam family: Bacterial small subunit ribosomal RNA
Source: RNAcentral